ACUACGGGAGGCUGCAGUGGGGAAUAUUGGGCAAUGGGCGCAAGCCUGACCCAGCAACGCCGCGUGAAGGAAGAAGGCUUUCGGGUUGUAAACUUCUUUUCUGAGGGACGAAGAAAGUGACGGUACCUCCGGAAUAAGCCACGGCUAACUACGUGCCAGCAGCCGCGGUAAUACGUAGGUGGCAAGCGUUAUCCGGAUUUAUUGGGUGUAAAGGGCGGGUAGGCGGGAAAGCAAGUUAGAUGUGAAAACUCAGGGCUCAACCCUGGGCCUGCAUUUGAAACUGUUUUUCGUGAGUGCUGGAGAGGUAAUCGGAAUUCCGGGUGUAGCGGUGAAAUGCGUAGAUAUACGGAGGAACACCAGUGGCGAAGGCGGAUUGCUGGACAGUAACUGACGCUGAGGCGCGAAAGCGUGGGGAGCAAACAGGAUUAGAUACCCCAGUAGUC
This 443-nucleotide ribosomal RNA is filed under the name uncultured bacterium. Its description in RNAcentral is "partial 16S ribosomal RNA". It matches the Rfam family "Bacterial small subunit ribosomal RNA", at positions 338 to 795 of the family's 1533-position model. The record is from RNAcentral.